UGCAACAACAAAAAAACGUGUUUUUUCAUUGUGAGGUAAUUUACCUAUUUGUGGCUGCUAGCCAAAUUGCGUUAAACUUCUAUUCUAAUCUGAUGUAAAAAUACAUUUCUGCCUAAUGUGUUGCAUUAAUAUAUUUCGUGUGAAAUAAAUAUAUAGUCCCUUAUCACUCUAUUGAAGCAAAAAAACACGAUGACUUUCAAUAUGAAACACAGUUGAAAUGGUUUAAAACACAGAUUUUCUGAUGGUCUGCUUUUUGAACAUGCAGGUCAGUAUAGGCAGGUCAGUCACCAGCCACCAGACAGACAGAACCGUGCACCAGGCUUAUCUAUCAGUAUAGGCAGGUCAGUCACCAGCCACCAGACAGACAGAACCGUGCACCAGGCAUAUCUAUCAGUAUAGGCAGGUCAGCCACCAGACAGACAGAACCGUGCACCAGGCAUAUCUAUCAGUAUAGGCAGGUCAGCCACCAGACAGACAGAACCGUGC
Long non-coding RNA from Oncorhynchus tshawytscha (Chinook salmon), 486 nucleotides. The record is from Ensembl. NCBI's taxonomy places the organism in Eukaryota, Metazoa, Chordata, Actinopteri, Salmoniformes, Salmonidae.